This is a long non-coding RNA of Ostrinia furnacalis (Asian corn borer), 401 nucleotides long. RefSeq lists it as uncharacterized. The transcript has 3 exons. The record is from RefSeq and is a predicted model, not a curated record. Lineage: Eukaryota; Metazoa; Arthropoda; Insecta; Lepidoptera; Crambidae.
GGCACGGCGCGCACGCCCCAGCCCGGCACUCUAGUCACGACCGCCCCACCAUACACUACCCUAUACACAAGUACACUACCCAUAACCGUGUAAGUACACGUGAAACAGUGCGCGCGUUACCGGCAUCGACGCUGCGAGGACCGCGCCGCGACGUUAACCUCUCACCGUCAGUCAAAAACGAUCCAAAUUGAUAGUGUGAUAAUAAAUAACAUGAUAUGUGACAUCAGACAAGUGUUUAACGAAUAGCUUGAGCGGCGGCGGCUUGUCUACGUCAUGCUAUGGGAGUGUAGCUGCCCCCACCGGACGACCGACUCGCCACAAUGCGGCUCGUUAGCAGUCAACGCAGCGCCCAACUGAAAGGAUCUUUCCAGAGUGUGCAAACACUUCGUCAUGCCACCUAA